UACGUAGGGGGCAAGCGUUGUCCGGAAUCAUUGGGCGUAAAGCGCGUGUAGGCGGCUAGGUAAGUCUGCUCUGAAAGUCGGGGGCUCAACCCUCGAAUGCCGGUGGAUACUGUCGGGCUAGAGUGCGGAAGAGGCGAGUGGAAUUCCUGGUGUAGCGGUGAAAUGCGCAGAUAUCAGGAGGAACACCUAUUGCGAAGGCAGCUCGCUGGGACGUAACUGACGCUGAGACGCGAAAGCGUGGGGAGCAAACAGG
RNAcentral lists this ribosomal RNA (253 nucleotides) under uncultured bacterium. RNAcentral's name for it is "partial 16S ribosomal RNA". It matches the Rfam family "Bacterial small subunit ribosomal RNA", at positions 524 to 776 of the family's 1533-position model. The record is from RNAcentral.